GCAGGGAUAGCAAAGUAUGGCCAAAUGCGGUGGGUUUAGGGCCCAUUCCCGUAGGGGUUCGUGAGUUCAAAUCUCACUCCCUGCA
RNAcentral lists this transfer RNA (85 nucleotides) under Candidatus Mancarchaeum acidiphilum. RNAcentral's name for it is "tRNA-Leu". It matches the Rfam family "tRNA". From Rfam's summary of the family: Transfer RNA (tRNA) molecules are approximately 80 nucleotides in length. Their secondary structure includes four short double-helical elements and three loops (D, anti-codon, and T loops). The record is from RNAcentral. Lineage: Archaea; Nanobdellati; Microcaldota.